AGCAGCCGCGGUAAUUCCAGCUCCAAUAGCGUAUAUUAAAGUUGUUGCAGUUAAAAAGCUCGUAGUUGAAUUUCGGGAUCAAUUAAUUGGUCGUGCCUCUGGUACGUACUGAUUUUUAUUGGUUUCUCCCUUCUGACGAACCAUGAUGUCAUUAAUUUGGUGUCGUGGAGAAUCAGGACUGUUACUUUGAAAAAAUUGAGUGUUUAAAGCAAGCUAACGCUUGAAUACAUUAGCAUGGAAUAAUGAAAUAGGACGUUUGAUCCUAUUUUGUUGGUCUCUAGGAUCGACGUAAUGAUUAAUAGGGAUAGUUGGGGGCAUUAGUAUUCAAUUGUCAGAGGUGAAAUUCUUGGAUUUAUUGAAGACUAACUACUGACGAAAGCAUUUGCCAAGGNUUGUUUCAUUAUCAAAGAACGAAAGUUAGGGAUCGAAGCGAUCAGAUACCGUCGUAGUCUUAACAUAAACUAUCGACCGUAGUAGGGAUCGGAUGUAUAGUUUUAAUUUUUAAUGUACUCUACGUUCG
This 520-nucleotide ribosomal RNA is filed under the name uncultured Glomus. RNAcentral describes it as "bacterial SSU rRNA". It matches the Rfam family "Eukaryotic small subunit ribosomal RNA", at positions 569 to 1082 of the family's 1831-position model. Lineage: Eukaryota; Fungi; Glomeromycota; Glomeromycetes; Glomerales; Glomeraceae. The record is from RNAcentral.